RNAcentral lists this long non-coding RNA (792 nucleotides) under Homo sapiens (human). RNAcentral's name for it is "non-protein coding lnc-VCAN-1:5". The record is from RNAcentral. Lineage: Eukaryota; Metazoa; Chordata; Mammalia; Primates; Hominidae.
GGGCUCAUCUGUUCACGGGGGCAAAAGGGUGGAAGUGAGUAGGAGACAUGCAUCUCGUUAAGCAGGACAUCUGUUUCAGAGAAGAAGUGGGGCAAGUUUGGGAACUGUGCAAGAACAUAAAGGCAAAGACAGACCCUUGAAGCAUCACUAAGGUGGAUCAAAUUUUCUUUCUAUCCGCCAAAAUAAAUGGACUGGUUUUUGCAGUGGAAGUGAUUGAACCAAAAAUACAGCUCAUGGCUUACAAUUGUGCUUUCUUCUCUGUUUUUCGGUUAGAAUGAUUGCUUAUUGUACAUGGAUCCAAUUCCAGCAGUUACAGAGAGGGAGGUAGGGAGAGAGACAAACACAGAGCUAGAGAAAUUGAAAGAGAAACAUUCUCGAAGGCAAAGAGUUGAAAGGUGAAUCUACUAAGAAAAGAAUAACAGAGUGCAAUUAGCCAUGGAACUACAUCUCCAUCUGCCUCCUUUAAAGGAUGAGUCCUUUAAAGAGCCUUUGGAAGGAAUUGGGCCAUGAGAAGAGCCCUCAUGAAUGGGAUUAGUUCCCUUAUAAGAAGAGACACCAAGGAAGUGAUCUUUCUCUGCCCUCUGCUAUGUGAAGACAAGGUCAUCUGCAGUUUUUUGUUGUUGUUGAUGAUCUUCCUGUCAUAGACAAUGCUGUAACAAACAGACUAUCCACAGGUUUUCUACUUUUUUGAGCUAAAUCGUGAUGAAGCAGAUGAUAAUCUGAGGCUCGCCUGCUAUAUUGUGAAAAUCCCUCUGUGCUUGUAAUAAAGGCUUCAUCUCCACAAGACCUAAA